RNAcentral lists this ribosomal RNA (388 nucleotides) under uncultured microorganism. Its description in RNAcentral is "bacterial SSU rRNA". It matches the Rfam family "Bacterial small subunit ribosomal RNA", at positions 9 to 404 of the family's 1533-position model. The record is from RNAcentral.
GAGUUUGAUCGUGGCUCAGGACGAACGCUGGCGGCGUGCUUAACACAUGCAAGUCGAGCGGUAAGGCCUUUCGGGUACACGAGCGGCGAACGGGUGAGUAACACGUGGGUGAUCUGCCCUGCACUUCGGGAUAAGCCUGGGAAACUGGGUCUAAUACCGGAUAUGACCUCCUAUCGCAUGGUGGGUGGUGGAAGAUUUAUCGGUGCAGGAUGGGCCCGCGGCCUAUCAGCUUGUUGGUGGGGUAAUGGCCUACCAAGCGACGACGGGUAGCCGACCUGAGAGGGUGACCGGCCACACUGGGACUGAGACACGGCCCAGACUCCUACGGGAGGCAGCAGUGGGGAAUAUUGCACAAUGGGCGAAAGCCUGAUGCAGCGACGCCGCGUGA